UACGUAGGGUGCGAGCGUUUAAUCGGAAUUACUGGGCGUAAAGUGUGCGCAGGCGGCACCGCAAGUCGAGUGUGAAAGCCCCGGGCUUAACUUGGGAAUUGCGCUCGAAACUAUGGUGCUGGAGUGUGGCAGAGGAAGGUGGAAUUCCAGGUGUAGCGGUGAAAUGCGUAGAGAUCUGGAGGAACACCGAUGGCGAAGGCAGCCUUCUGGGCCAACACUGACGCUCAUGCACGAAAGCGUGGGGAGCAAACAGG
This 254-nucleotide ribosomal RNA is filed under the name uncultured bacterium. RNAcentral describes it as "partial 16S ribosomal RNA". It matches the Rfam family "Bacterial small subunit ribosomal RNA", at positions 524 to 776 of the family's 1533-position model. The record is from RNAcentral.